This is a non-coding RNA of Pelobates cultripes (western spadefoot toad), 356 nucleotides long. NCBI's taxonomy places the organism in Eukaryota, Metazoa, Chordata, Amphibia, Anura, Pelobatidae. The record is from the annotation of a GenBank genome assembly.
CUGUCACUAGUCACCCCCUCCCUCUCACUGUCACUAGUCACACCGCCCUCUCUCUGUCACUAGAGUGAAGGGGUGACAGGUGACAGAGUGAGGGAAGGGGUGACUAGUGACAGAGUGAGGGGAUGACUGGUGACAAAGUGAGGGGAUGACUGGUGACAGAGUGAGGGAGGUGGUGACUAGUGACAAAGUGAGGGAGGUGGUGACUGUCACUAGUCACUAGUCACAACCUCCCUCACUCUGUCCCUAAUCACCCCCUUCCUCACUCUGUCACUAGUCACCCCUUCCCUCCCUAACUCUGUCACUAGUCACGACUUCCCUCCCUCACUCUGUCACUAGUCACCCCCUUCCUCACUCUG